CCUACGGGUGGCAGCAGUGAGGAAUAUUGGUCAAUGGGCGCGAGCCUGAACCAGCCAAGUAGCGUGAAGGAUGACUGCCCUACGGGUUGUAAACUUCUUUUAUAAAGGAAUAAAGUGAUGCACGUGUGCCUUUUUGUAUGUACUUUAUGAAUAAGGAUCGGCUAACUCCGUGCCAGCAGCCGCGGUAAUACGGAGGAUCCGAGCGUUAUCCGGAUUUAGUGGGUUUAAAGUGAGGCUAGAUGGGUUGUUAAGUCAGUUGUGAAAGUUUGCGGCUCACCCGUAAAAUUGCAAUGGAUACUGGCAGUCUUGAGUACAGUGGAGGUAGGCGGAAUUCGUGGUGUAGCGGUGAAAUGCUUAGAUAUCACGAAGAACUCCGAUUGCGAAGGCAGCUUACUAAACUGCCACUGACAUUGAUGCUCGAAAGUGUGGGUAUCAAACAGGAUUAGAUACCCCUGUAGUC
This 460-nucleotide ribosomal RNA is filed under the name uncultured bacterium. Its description in RNAcentral is "partial 16S ribosomal RNA". It matches the Rfam family "Bacterial small subunit ribosomal RNA", at positions 338 to 795 of the family's 1533-position model. The record is from RNAcentral.